CAGAGGAGCUUGCUCCUUGGGUGACGAGUGGCGGACGGGUGAGUAAUGUCUGGGGAUCUGCCCGAUAGAGGGGGAUAACCACUGGAAACGGUGGCUAAUACCGCAUAACGUCGCAAGACCAAAGAGGGGGACCUUCGGGCCUCUCACUAUCGGAUGAACCCAGAUGGGAUUAGCUAGUAGGCGGGGUAAUGGCCCACCUAGGCGACGAUCCCUAGCUGGUCUGAGAGGAUGACCAGCCACACUGGAACUGAGACACGGUCCAGACUCCUACGGGAGGCAGCAGUGGGGAAUAUUGCACAAUGGGCGCAAGCCUGAUGCAGCCAUGCCGCGUGUAUGAAGAAGGCCUUCGGGUUGUAAAGUACUUUCAGCGGGGAGGAAGGCGAUGCGGUUAAUAACCGCGUCGAUUGACGUUACCCGCAGAAGAAGCACCGGCUAACUCCGUGCCAGCAGCCGCGGUAAUACGGAGGGUGCAAGCGUUAAUCGGAAUUACUGGGCGUAAAGCGCACGCAGGCGGUCUGUUAAGUCAGAUGUGAAAUCCCCGGGCUUAACCUGGGAACUGCAUUGAAAC
RNAcentral lists this ribosomal RNA (568 nucleotides) under Pantoea vagans. Its description in RNAcentral is "bacterial SSU rRNA". It matches the Rfam family "Bacterial small subunit ribosomal RNA", at positions 71 to 633 of the family's 1533-position model. The record is from RNAcentral. Lineage: Bacteria; Pseudomonadati; Pseudomonadota; Gammaproteobacteria; Enterobacterales; Erwiniaceae.